UACAGAGGGUGCAAGCGUUGUUCGGAAUUACUGGGCGUAAAGGGCUCGUAGGCGGCCAACUAAGUCCGACGUGAAAUCCCCAGGCUUAACCUGGGAACUGCGUCGGAUACUGGAUGGCUUGAAUUCGGGAGAGGGAUGCAGAAUUCCAGGUGUAGCGGUGAAAUGCGUAGAUAUCUGGAGGAAUACCGGUGGCGAAGGCGGCAUCCUGGACCGACAUUGACGCUGAUGAGCGAAAGCUAGGGGAGCAAACGGG
Molecule: ribosomal RNA, 253 nt
Filed under: uncultured bacterium
Lineage: Bacteria
Description: partial 16S ribosomal RNA
Rfam family: Bacterial small subunit ribosomal RNA
Source: RNAcentral